RNAcentral lists this ribosomal RNA (1273 nucleotides) under feces metagenome. RNAcentral describes it as "bacterial LSU rRNA". It matches the Rfam family "Bacterial large subunit ribosomal RNA", at positions 1271 to 2533 of the family's 2925-position model. The record is from RNAcentral.
UGCUGGAGGUAUCGGAAGUGCGAAUGCUGACAUGAGUAACGAUAAUGCGGGUGAAAAACCCGCACGCCGAAAGCCCAAGGUUUCCUUGCGCAACGUUAAUCGGCGCAGGGUGAGUCGGCCCCUAAGGCGAGGCAGAAAUGCGUAGUCGAUGGGAAGCAGGUUAAUAUUCCUGCACCUCGCGUAAGUGCGAUGGAGGGACGGAGAAGGUUAGGUGUACCAGGCGUUGGUUGUCCUGGGGAAAGGCGGUAGGUUUGGAUCUUUGGCAAAUCCGGGAUCCUUUAAGACCGAGCACCGAGACGAGCCUUUAAGGCGAAGUCACUGAUACCACGCUUCCAGGAAAAGCUCCUAAGCUUCAGCUUACGCAGACCGUACCGUAAACCGACACAGGUGGGUAGGAUGAGAAUUCUCAGGCGCUUGAGAGAACUCGGGUGAAGGAACUAGGCAACAUGGCACCGUAACUUCGGGAGAAGGUGCACCCUUUUUGGUGGCUCAUGCGAGCUAUAGCUGAAGAGGGUCGCAGUAACCAGGCCGCUGCGACUGUUUAUCAAAAACACAGCACUCUGCAAACACGAAAGUGGACGUAUAGGGUGUGACGCCUGCCCGGUGCUGGAAGGUUAAUUGAUGGGGUCAGCCGCAAGGCGAAGCUCUUGAUCGAAGCCCCAGUAAACGGCGGCCGUAACUAUAACGGUCCUAAGGUAGCGAAAUUCCUUGUCGGGUAAGUUCCGACCUGCACGAAUGGCGUAACGACAGCGGCGCUGUCUCCACCCGAGACUCAGUGAAAUUGAAAUCGCUGUGAAGAUGCAGCGUUCCCGUGGCAAGACGGAAAGACCCCGUGAACCUUUACUAUAGCUUUACACUGAACGUUGAGUUCGUCUGUGUAGGAUAGGUGGGAGGCUAUGAAACUGUGGCGCUAGCUGCAGUGGAGCCAUCCUUGAAAUACCACCCUGUCGUGCUUGACGUUCUAACCUAGGUCCAUUAUCUGGAUCGGGGACCGUGUAUGGUGGGUAGUUUGACUGGGGCGGUCUCCUCCUAAAGAGUAACGGAGGAGCUCGAAGGUACGCUCAGCGCGGUCGGACAUCGCGCACUGUGUGCAAAGGCAUAAGCGUGCUUGACUGCAAGAUCGACGGAUCAAGCAGGUAGGAAACUAGGACUUAGUGAUCCGGUGGUUCUGUAUGGAAGGGCCAUCGCUCAACGGAUAAAAGGUACUCCGGGGAUAACAGGCUGAUACCGCCCAAGAGUUCAUAUCGACGGCGGUGUUUGGCACCUCGAUGUC